GAUGAAGAACGUAGCGAAAUGCGAUAAGUAAUGUGAAUUGCAGAAUCCAGUGAAUCAUCGAAUCUUUGAACGCACAUUGCGCCCGCCAGCAUUCUGGCGGGCAUGCCUGUUCGAGCGUCAUUUCAACCCUCGACCUCCCUUUGGGGAAGUCGGCGUUGGGGACCGGCAGCACACCGCCGGCCCUGAAAUGGAGUGGCGGCCCGUCCGCGGCGACCUCUGCGUAGUAAUCCAACUCGCAACGGAACCCCGACGCGGCCACGCCGUAAACCACCCAACUUCUGAACGUUGACCUCGAAUCAGGUAGGACUACCCGCUGAACUUAAGCAUAUCAAUAAGCGGAGGA
Molecule: unclassified non-coding RNA, 343 nt
Filed under: soil metagenome
Description: partial contains 5.8S ribosomal RNA, internal transcribed spacer 2, and large subunit ribosomal RNA
Rfam family: 5.8S ribosomal RNA (bases 1-120)
Source: RNAcentral